RNAcentral lists this ribosomal RNA (365 nucleotides) under uncultured rumen bacterium. RNAcentral describes it as "partial 16S ribosomal RNA". The record is from RNAcentral.
UAUUCCCCACUGCUGCCUCCCGUAGGAGUCUGGACCGUGUCUCAGUUCCAAUGUGGCCGUUCAUCCUCUCAGACCGGCUACUGAUCGUCGCCUUGGUAGGCCGUUACCCCACCAACUAGCUAAUCAGACGCAGACCCAUCACAAAGCGAUAGCUUACAAGUAGAGGCCAUCUUUAAUCAGUCUCCCAUGCGAGAAACUGACAACAUUCGGUAUUAGCAGUCCUUUCGGACUGUUGUCCCCAUCUUUGCGGCAGGUUGUCUACGCGUUACUCACCCGUUUGCCACUCGACUUUCAAAAGCAAGCUUUCAAUCGUCUCGUUCGACUUGCAUGUGUUAAGCACGCCGCCAGCGUUCAUCCUGAGCCAA